RNAcentral lists this ribosomal RNA (253 nucleotides) under uncultured bacterium. RNAcentral describes it as "partial 16S ribosomal RNA". It matches the Rfam family "Bacterial small subunit ribosomal RNA", at positions 524 to 776 of the family's 1533-position model. The record is from RNAcentral.
UACGAAGGGGGCUAGCGUUGCUCGGAGUCACUGGGCGUAAAGGGUGCGUAGGCGGGUCUUUAAGUCAGGGGUGAAAUCCUGGAGCUCAACUCCAGAACUGCCUUUGAUACUGAGGAUCUUGAGUCCGGGAGAGGUGAGUGGAACUGCGAGUGUAGAGGUGAAAUUCGUAGAUAUUCGCAAGAACACCAGUGGCGAAGGCGGCUCACUGGCCCGGUACUGACGCUGAGGCACGAAAGCGUGGGGAGCAAACAGG